UACGUUCCCGGGCCUUGUACACACCGCCCGUCACACCAUGGGAGUUGACCGUGCCCGAAGCCGUGUCCCCAACCGUAAGGGGGGGAGCGUCUACGGCAAGGUCGGCGACUGGGGUG
This 116-nucleotide ribosomal RNA is filed under the name uncultured bacterium. RNAcentral's name for it is "partial 16S ribosomal RNA". It matches the Rfam family "Bacterial small subunit ribosomal RNA", at positions 1367 to 1482 of the family's 1533-position model. The record is from RNAcentral.